Long non-coding RNA from Lagenorhynchus albirostris (white-beaked dolphin), 1167 nucleotides. RefSeq lists it as uncharacterized. The transcript has 4 exons. The record is from RefSeq and is a predicted model, not a curated record. NCBI's taxonomy places the organism in Eukaryota, Metazoa, Chordata, Mammalia, Artiodactyla, Delphinidae.
CACUUAUCUGCAGGAAGCACCUUGGGAAGCACGUGGCCCAGCCCUGGAGAGAGGAAGCUAGUGCUUCCCGGCCCCCCUCCUGUCUCCACUGUCUUCCUGCCCCGUUCUCCCCUCCCUGAGUCACCCAGAGCUGCCCCCCACCGUGUCCCUCAUCCCUCCCACUGUGGCGGCUGCAAGGCCGGCCGUGCUCGCCGGAGUCCCCGAUUCGUGGUGGCCCUGAAGGAGGGGGCUCACAACCAGCUGCAGAGCAGCCCCGGGCCUCCGUGCUCUCCCUGCAAACCUACCCUUGACCUGGAGAGCCAGGCGCCCAUGUGGCCACCCAUCCUGGACCUCACGGAGGCCCCCUCGGCCUCCCCAGCAACCCACUGGCCUCGGCUCAGGCGGGCCUGCACUGCCAGGGCUGUUUCCACAGAGCACCUGGCGCAAAGGAUGGGUACAUAAUGAACGAAUGCCAAACCGGCACCACUCCUCUGGACCCACCACCACCCUGGCAAAUGGCAAAAGUUCCAAUACCCAGAAGCACCUUACCCACACAAUGUCCUCCUGUCCCUGCAACAUGGUGGGUUUACAGAGGAGGAAGCCCAGGGACAAGCUAUUUUGUGGAGAAUAAAAGACCCCCAGGCUCUUCACCACCUCCCAGCCUCACCCCGCUGCUCUCCUGUCUCUGUCCUUGAAGGGGACAGGAAUGAUGGUUGCUGAGGGCAAAGUGGACGGAGCAGACCCAAAGGAGGAGGUGGAGGCCUGCACAGAUGGUCUUCGGUGUCCUGGGUCCCCCACAUCCGCCAGUCCCAAGAACCACUGCAGAAGCCCUUCAGCUAAACAAACUGCGGACCAAAAAGGUGAAGCCAUUCGUCCGAAGCUGUGCAGUGAUGGAGCCAGGACCGUCAUCUCCGCUUUCGAUGGGCCCUUCCCAUUGGUGUAACCCGGACGCAGAGCAAACCCCAUAUGCCCCUCUACACAGCACACACACGCCCCACCACGCACACCGCACAUCACACACACAUCACACACACACACACACACCCUGACGCACAACAGACACACACAUGAACGGAGGGGAAAGGGUUGGGAAGAAAUUUUUAUCUCCUGUUUCAAGAAAAACACCAAAAGUAGUGUUGAAGGAAAAGCCAGCAGCCCGCGGGCUCCACGGUUUUUGUUUCGAUUCGC